Molecule: ribosomal RNA, 155 nt
Filed under: uncultured fungus
Lineage: Eukaryota; Fungi
Description: 5.8S ribosomal RNA
Rfam family: 5.8S ribosomal RNA
About the family: 5.8S ribosomal RNA (5.8S rRNA) is a component of the large subunit of the eukaryotic ribosome. It is transcribed by RNA polymerase I as part of the 45S precursor that also contains 18S and 28S rRNA. Functionally, it is thought that 5.8S rRNA may be involved in ribosome translocation.
Source: RNAcentral
AACUUUCAGCAAUGGAUCUCUUGGUUCUCGCAUCGAUGAAGAACGCAGCGAACUGCGAUAAGUAAUGUGAAUUGCAGAUUUUCAGUGAAUCAUCGAAUCUUUGAACGCACCUUGCGCUCCUUGGUACUCCGAGGAGCAUGCCUGUUUGAGUGUCA